RNAcentral lists this ribosomal RNA (445 nucleotides) under Arsenicicoccus sp. oral taxon C74. Its description in RNAcentral is "bacterial SSU rRNA". It matches the Rfam family "Bacterial small subunit ribosomal RNA", at positions 28 to 486 of the family's 1533-position model. Lineage: Bacteria; Bacillati; Actinomycetota; Actinomycetes; Micrococcales; Intrasporangiaceae. The record is from RNAcentral.
GACGAACGCUGGCGGCGUGCUUAACACAUGCAAGUCGAACGAUGAAGCGGUGCUUGCACCGUGGAUUAGUGGCGAACGGGUGAGUAACACGUGAGUAACCUGCCUUCCACUCUGGGAUAAGCGCUGGAAACGGCGUCUAAUACUGGAUAUGACAUUGCCUCGCAUGGGGUGGUGUGGAAAGAUUUUUUGGUGGUAGAUGGACUCGCGGCCUAUCAGCUUGUUGGUGGGGUAAUGGCCUACCAAGGCGACGACGGGUAGCCGGCCUGAGAGGGUGACCGGCCACACUGGGACUGAGACACGGCCCAGACUCCUACGGGAGGCAGCAGUGGGGAAUAUUGCACAAUGGGCGAAAGCCUGAUGCAGCGACGCCGCGUGAGGGAUGACGGCCUUCGGGUUGUAAACCUCUUUCAGCUCUGACGAAGCUUUUUGUGACGUAGGAGCAGAG